UAGAUUUAAUAUUGAUGACCUGGCAUGUUG
Molecule: non-coding RNA, 30 nt
Filed under: Rattus norvegicus (Norway rat)
Lineage: Eukaryota; Metazoa; Chordata; Mammalia; Rodentia; Muridae
Source: RNAcentral